AGUGAACGCUGGCGGUAGGCCUAACACAUGCAAGUCGAACGGCAGCACAGUAAGAGCUUGCUCUUACGGGUGGCGAGUGGCGGACGGGUGAGGAAUACAUCGGAAUCUACUUUUUCGUGGGGGAUAACGUAGGGAAACUUACGCUAAUACCGCAUACGACCUACGGGUGAAAGCAGGGGAUCUUCGGACCUUGCGCGAUUGAAUGAGCCGAUGUCGGAUUAGCUAGUUGGCGGGGUAAAGGCCCACCAAGGCGACGAUCCGUAGCUGGUCUGAGAGGAUGGUCAGCAACACUGGAACUGAGACACGGUCCAGACUCCUACGGGAGGCAGCAGUGGGGAAUAUUGGACAAUGGGCGCGAGCCUGAUCCAGCCAUACCGCGUGGGUGAAGAAGGCCUUCGGGUUGUAAAGCCCUUUUGUUGGGAAAGAAAAGCAGCAGGUUAAUACCCCGCUGUUCUGACGGUACCCAAAGAAUAAGCACCGGCUAACUUCGUG
This 492-nucleotide ribosomal RNA is filed under the name uncultured bacterium. Its description in RNAcentral is "partial 16S ribosomal RNA". It matches the Rfam family "Bacterial small subunit ribosomal RNA", at positions 29 to 507 of the family's 1533-position model. The record is from RNAcentral.